This 248-nucleotide long non-coding RNA is filed under the name Olea europaea (common olive). RNAcentral describes it as "long non-coding RNA (OEUR_LNC011540)". Lineage: Eukaryota; Viridiplantae; Streptophyta; Magnoliopsida; Lamiales; Oleaceae. The record is from RNAcentral.
CGCCUCCCAGGGAAUUGAGCGAACUAAGUCCUUGGUCGAGUAGUACAAGAAGUUGGAAGUUGAUGAUGAUGUCGCGGCUGAAUUGAACAUCACUUCCUCUCGGCAGAAUGAGGAUUGGGAAAAACUUAGGGAACGAAUUCGUUCAGUAUGGGGUAGACUGUAAUUAAGACAUAUGAUGUCUUUUUUCUUUUGUAAUUCGAUUUUUCCCUUUGUAACUUUGUUCAUCAUUAAUGAACAUUAACUUCUUG